Myiozetetes cayanensis is the source of this 710-nucleotide long non-coding RNA. RefSeq lists it as uncharacterized. The record is from RefSeq and is a predicted model, not a curated record. NCBI's taxonomy places the organism in Eukaryota, Metazoa, Chordata, Aves, Passeriformes, Tyrannidae. The transcript has 8 exons.
AGACCAUCCCAAAUCCAAGGAAUGUCCUUCCUGACUGAGUUUUCCCACCCCAAAUCCAAGGAAUGACCCCCCAGGUGAUGUCACCAAUCCCAACAAGGUCUCUGCUCCUCCAGACCAUCCCAAAUCCAAGGAAUGAUCCCCCAGGUGAGGUUUCCAACCCCAAAAUCCAAGGAAUGACCCCCCAGGUGAUGUCACCAACCCCAACAAGGUCUCUCCUCCUCCAGAUCAUCCCAAAUCCAAGGAAUGACCCCCCAGGUGAUGUCACCAACCCCAACAAGGUCUCUGCUCCUCCAGACCAUCCCAAAUCCAAGGAAUGACCCCCCAGGUGAUGUCACCAACCCCAACAAGGUCUCUGCUCCUCCAGACCAUCCCAAAUCCAAGGAAUGACCCCCCAGGUGAUGUCACCAAUCCCAACAAGGUCUCUCCUCCUCCAGACCAUCCCAAAUCCAAGGAAUGUCCCUCCUGGCUGAGCUUUCCCACCCCAAAUCCAAGGAAUGACCCCCCAGAUGAGGUUUCCCACCCCAAAUCCAAGGAAUGACCCCCCCAGGUGAUGUCACCAAUCCCAACAAGGUCUCUGCUCCUCCAGAUCAUCCCAAAUCCAAGGAAUGACCCCCCAGGUGAUGUCACCAAUCCCAACAAGGUCUCUGCUCCUCCAGAUCACCCCAAAUCCAAGGAAUGACCCCCCAGGUGAUGUCACCAACCCCAACAAG